UCUCUGUUAGUAUAUCGGUUAGUACACGCGCCUGUCAUGUACUGGCCGCGCGAAAGCGGGGUUCGACUCCCCGACAGAGAG
RNAcentral lists this transfer RNA (81 nucleotides) under Lentinus tigrinus ALCF2SS1-7. RNAcentral describes it as "tRNA-Asp". RNAcentral also lists the same sequence under 1 other name. The record is from RNAcentral. Lineage: Eukaryota; Fungi; Basidiomycota; Agaricomycetes; Polyporales; Polyporaceae.